This 443-nucleotide ribosomal RNA is filed under the name uncultured Bdellovibrio sp. RNAcentral describes it as "bacterial SSU rRNA". It matches the Rfam family "Bacterial small subunit ribosomal RNA", at positions 338 to 795 of the family's 1533-position model. The record is from RNAcentral. Lineage: Bacteria; Pseudomonadati; Bdellovibrionota; Bdellovibrionia; Bdellovibrionales; Pseudobdellovibrionaceae.
CCUACGGGUGGCUGCAGUGGGGAAUAUUGCACAAUGGAGGAAACUCUGAUGCAGCGACGCCGCGUGAGCGAUGAAGGCCUUCGGGUUGUAAAGCUCUGUCGCAUGGGAAUAAGACAGUGAAUGUACCAUGCAAGAAAGGAUCGGCUAACUUCGUGCCAGCAGCCGCGGUAAGACGAGGGAUCCUAGCGUUGUUCGGAAUCAUUGGGCGUAAAGCGGGUGCAUGUGGCUUUGUAAGUCAGGUGUGAAAUCCCAGGGCUCAACCCUGGAAGUGCAUUUGAUACUGCGAAGCUUGAGUGCUGGAGAGGUAAGUAGAAUUCCUGGUGUAGUGGUGAAAUACGUAGAUAUCAGGAGGAAUACCGGAGGCGAAGGCGGCUUACUGGCCAGACACUGACACUCAGACACGAAAGCGUGGGGAUCAAACAGGAUUAGAUACCCGAGUAGUC